Pan troglodytes (chimpanzee) is the source of this 52-nucleotide microRNA precursor. It matches the Rfam family "mir-1302 microRNA precursor family". The record is from Rfam. Lineage: Eukaryota; Metazoa; Chordata; Mammalia; Primates; Hominidae.
UUUUUAAUAUAAAUAUGUGCCAUGCCAUAUUUGGGGCAUACUUAUGUUAAAA